RNAcentral lists this ribosomal RNA (492 nucleotides) under uncultured bacterium. RNAcentral describes it as "partial 16S ribosomal RNA". It matches the Rfam family "Bacterial small subunit ribosomal RNA", at positions 29 to 507 of the family's 1533-position model. The record is from RNAcentral.
AGUGAACGCUGGCGGUAGGCCUAACACAUGCAAGUCGAACGGCAGCACAGUAAGAGCUUGCUCUUACGGGUGGCGAGUGGCGGACGGGUGAGGAAUACAUCGGAAUCUACUUUUUCGUGGGGGAUAACGUAGGGAAACUUACGCUAAUACCGCAUACGACCUACGGGUGAAAGCAGGGGAUCUUCGGACCUUGCGCGAUUAAAUGAGCCGAUGUCGGAUUAGCUAGUUGGCGGGGUAAAGGCCCACCAAGGCGACGAUCCGUAGCUGGUCUGAGAGGAUGAUCAGCCACACUGGAACUGAGACACGGUCCAGACUCCUACGGGAGGCAGCAGUGGGGAAUAUUGGACAAUGGGCGCAAGCCUGAUCCAGCCAUACCGCGUGGGUGAAGAAGGCCUUCGGGUUGUAAAGCCCUUUUGUUGGGAAAGAAAAGCAGCAGGUUAAUACCCCGCUGUUCUGACGGUACCCAAAGAAUAAGCACCGGCUAACUCCGUG